UUGGAGGGCAAGUCUGGUGCCAGCAGCCGCGGUAAUUCCAGCUCCAAUAGCGUAUAUUAAAGUUGUUGCAGUUAAAAAGCUCGUAGUUGAAUUUCGGAAUCUGUCCAUCGGUCGGGCCUCACUGUUCGUACUGGUGUGGUGGGUUCUUACCUUCUGAAUAACCAGCAUGCCAUUAAUUUGGUGCGUUGGGGAAGCAGGACUAUUACCUUGAAAAAAUUAGAGUGCUCAAAGCAGGCCAGUGCCUGAAUACAUUAGCAUGGAAUAAUAAAAUAGGACGGCAUGGUUCUAUUUUGUUGGUUUCUAGGAUCACCGUAAUGAUUAAUAGGGAUAGUUGGGGGCAUUAGUAUUCAAUUGUCAGAGGUGAAAUUCUUGGAUUUAUUGAAGACUAACUUCUGCGAAAGCAUUUGCCAAGGAUGUUUUCAUUAAUCAAGAACGAAAGUUAGGGGAUCGAAGACGAUCAGAUACCGUCGUAGUCUUAACCAUAAGCUAUGCCGACUAGGGAUCGGACGAUGUUAAUUUUUUAAUGACUCAUUCGGCGCCUUACGGGA
Molecule: ribosomal RNA, 548 nt
Filed under: uncultured Glomeromycotina
Lineage: Eukaryota; Fungi; Glomeromycota
Description: SSU rRNA
Rfam family: Eukaryotic small subunit ribosomal RNA
Source: RNAcentral